This 454-nucleotide ribosomal RNA is filed under the name uncultured bacterium. Its description in RNAcentral is "bacterial SSU rRNA". It matches the Rfam family "Bacterial small subunit ribosomal RNA", at positions 28 to 507 of the family's 1533-position model. The record is from RNAcentral.
GACGAACGCUGGCGGCGUGCCUAACACAUGCAAGUCGAUCGGAGCAGCAAUGCUUAGAGGCGAACGGGUGAGGAAAACGUAGUAACCAACCCUUUAGACUGGGAUAGCCACUGGAAACGGUGGGUAAUACCGGAUAAGCUCGAGAGAGGAAAGGCAGAGAAGCGCUAAAGGACGGAACUGCGCCCAUCAGAUAGUUGGUGAGGUAAAGGCUUACCAAGUCAAAGACGGGAAACCGACGUGAGAGCGUGUACGGUCACAAGGGCACUGAGAGACGGGCCCUACUCCUACGGGAGGCAGCAGUGGGGAAUAUUGGACAAUGGACGAAAGUCUGAUCCAGCGACGCCGCGUGGAGGAAGAAGUCCUUCGGGAUGUAAACUCAUGAAGCUAACGAAUAAGACGGAAGGGGAACCUUCCGGGAGAAGGUAAUUAGUGAAAAGCCCCGGCUAACUACGUG